CUAAGCCAUGCGAGUCUUUGUAGUAAUACAAGGCAGACGGCUCAGUAACACGUAGUCAACCUACCCUAUGGACAAGAAUAAUCUCGGGAAACUGGGCAUAAUUCUUGAUAGAUCAUAAUGCCUGGAAUGGUUUAUGGUUAAAAUGAUUCGUCGCCAUAGGACGGGACUGCGGCCUAUCAGCUUGUUGGUGAGGUAAUGGCCCACCAAGGCGAUUACAGGUACGGGCUCUGAGAGGAGAAGCCCGGAGAUGGGUACUGAGACACGGACCCAGGCCCUAUGGGGCGCAGCAGGCGAGAAAACUUUGCAAUGUGCGAAAGCACGACAAGGUUAAUCCGAGUGAUUUCUGCUAAAGAAAUCUUUUGCCAGUCAUAAAACCACUGGUGAAUAAGGGGUGGGCAAGUUCUGGUGUCAGCCGCCGCGGUAAAACCAGCACCUCAAGUGGUCAGGAUGAUUAUUGGGCCUAAAGCAUCCGUAGCCGGCUUUGUAAGUUUUCGGUUAAAUCCAUGUGCUCAACGCAUGGGCUGCCGAAAAUACUGCAUGGCUAGGGAGUGGGAGAGGUAGACGGUACUCAGUAGGAAGGGGUAAAAUCCUUUGAUCUAUUGAUGACCACCUGUGGCGAAGGCGGUCUACCAGAACACGUUCGACGGUGAGGGAUGAAAGCUGGGGGAGCAAACCGGAUUAGAUACCCGGGUAGUCCCAGCUGUAAACGAUGCAAACUCGAUGAUGCAUUGGCAUAAUAGCCAGUGCAGUGUCGCAGGGAAGCC
RNAcentral lists this ribosomal RNA (764 nucleotides) under uncultured prokaryote. Its description in RNAcentral is "bacterial SSU rRNA". It matches the Rfam family "Archaeal small subunit ribosomal RNA", at positions 44 to 813 of the family's 1478-position model. The record is from RNAcentral.